This 381-nucleotide ribosomal RNA is filed under the name uncultured bacterium. Its description in RNAcentral is "bacterial SSU rRNA". It matches the Rfam family "Bacterial small subunit ribosomal RNA", at positions 29 to 439 of the family's 1533-position model. The record is from RNAcentral.
AGCGAACGCUGGCGGCAGGCCUAAUACAUGCAAGUCGAGCGCACCUUCGGGUGAGCGGCGGACGGGUGAGUAACGCGUGGGAAUGUGCCCUUUGGUACGGAACAACUGAGGGAAACUUCAGCUAAUACCGUAUGUGCCCUUCGGGGGAAAGAUUUAUUGCCAUUGGAGCAGCCCGCGUUGGAUUAGGUAGUUGGUGGGGUAAAGGCCCACCAAGCCGACGAUCCAUAGCUGGUCUGAGAGGAUGAUCAGCCACACUGGGACUGAGACACGGCCCAGACUCCUACGGGAGGCAGCAGUAGGGAAUCUUGCGCAAUGGGCGAAAGCCUGACGCAGCCAUGCCGCGUGAAUGAUGAAGGUCUUAGGAUUGUAAAAUUCUUUCAC